Molecule: small RNA, 123 nt
Filed under: Enterobacterales bacterium 8AC
Lineage: Bacteria; Pseudomonadati; Pseudomonadota; Gammaproteobacteria; Enterobacterales
Description: STnc490
Rfam family: STnc490 Hfq binding RNA
Source: RNAcentral
AAUCCCCAGUUAGGUUGGCGGGGCAGUAAAGUUUUCAACUUUAAGUCAGCUAAAAGACCUCCUUUGAUUUGUUAAAACGCCUUGCGGCCUGGCAACCGCAAAAGUUCAACAAGAAAUCAAAAG